This 1217-nucleotide ribosomal RNA is filed under the name uncultured Rhizaria. RNAcentral describes it as "SSU rRNA". It matches the Rfam family "Eukaryotic small subunit ribosomal RNA", at positions 577 to 1804 of the family's 1831-position model. The record is from RNAcentral.
CGGUAAUUCCAGCUCCAAUAGCGUAUACUAAAGUUGUUGCAGUUAAAAAGCUCGUAGUUGGAUUUCUGCGGGGACGGAGCGGCCGGUCGCAACUUGCGACUCGAGCUAGCGCUUUCCCCGCAUCCUGCCGCGAACCGUGCUACCAUUAGCUUGGUGGCGCUGGGGAUCGGCUCGAUUACUUUGAGAAAAAUAGAGUGUUCAAAGCAGGCCACACGCCUUGAAUAAGUUAGCAUGGAAUAAUGACUAAGGACUUCGGUUCUAUUUUGUUGGUGUUCGGGACUGAAGUAAUGAUUGAUAGGGACAGUUGGGGCGGUCUGUAUUCCAAAGCGAGAGGUGAAAUUCUUAGACCCUCGGAAGACAAACAGCUGCGAAAGCGUUCCGCAAGGAUGUUCCCUUUGAUCAAGAACGAAAGUUGGGGGAUCGAAGACGAUCAGAUACCGUCGUAGUCUCAACUAUAAACUAUACCAGCUAGGGAUCGGUCAACGUUUAAUCAUUCGACUUGAUCGGCACCUUAUGAGAAAUCAAAGCAUCUGGGUUCCGGGGGGAGUAUGGUCGCAAGGCUGAAACUUAAAGGAAUUGACGGAAGGGCACCACCAGCCGUGGAGCCUGUGGCUUAAUUUGACUCAACACGGGAAAACUUACCAGGUCCAGACAUAGUAAGGAUUGACAGAUUGAUAGCUCUUUCUUGAUUCUGUGGGUGGUGGUGCAUGGCCGUUCUUAGUUGGUGGAGUGAUUUGUCUGGUUAAUUCCGUUAACGAACGAGACCCCAGCCUGCUAAAUAGCGCGGCUGAGCUUUGCUCGGUGCGAGCUUCUUAGAGGGACUAUGAUGCGCGAUAGCACAUGGAAGUUUGGGGCAAUACCAGGUCUGUGAUGCCCUUAGAUGUUCUGGUCCGCACACGGGCUACACUGGCGCCUGCAACGAGCAUAUCAGCUGGCCCGAGAGGGUCUUGGCUAAUCUUUUGAACCGGCGCCGUGCUUGGGAUUGACCAUUGCAAUUGUUGGUCAUGCAACGAGGAAUGCCUUGUAAACGCGAGUCAUCAGCUCGCAUUGAAUACGUCCCUGCCCUUUGUACACACCGCCCGUCGCUCCUACCGAUGAAUGUUCCGAUGAAAUUUUCGGAGAGCGCCAGAGAACGGGGCUCUGCCUUGCAGAUCUGGAGGCUCAAAGUCACUUAAAUCUGAACAUUUCGAGGAAGGAGAAGUCGUAACAAGGUAACC